Molecule: ribosomal RNA, 437 nt
Filed under: uncultured Escherichia sp.
Lineage: Bacteria; Pseudomonadati; Pseudomonadota; Gammaproteobacteria; Enterobacterales; Enterobacteriaceae
Description: bacterial SSU rRNA
Rfam family: Bacterial small subunit ribosomal RNA
Source: RNAcentral
UGAACGCUGGCGGCAGGCCUAACACAUGCAAGUCGAACGGUAACAGGAAGAAGCUUGCUUCUUUGCUGACGAGUGGCGGACGGGUGAGUAAUGUCUGGGAAACUGCCUGAUGGAGGGGGAUAACUACUGGAAACGGUAGCUAAUACCGCAUAACGUCGCAAGACCAAAGAGGGGGACCUUCGGGCCUCUUGCCAUCGGAUGUGCCCAGAUGGGAUUAGCUAGUAGGUGGGGUAACGGCUCACCUAGGCGACGAUCCCUAGCUGGUCUGAGAGGAUGACCAGCCACACUGGAACUGAGACACGGUCCAGACUCCUACGGGAGGCAGCAGUGGGGAAUAUUGCACAAUGGGCGCAAGCCUGAUGCAGCCAUGCCGCGUGUAUGAAGAAGGCCUUCGGGUUGUAAAGUACUUUCAGCGGGGAGGAAGGGAGUAAAGUUAA